CAGCCGCCGCGGUAAUACGAAGGGGGCUAGCGUUGCUCGGAAUCACUGGGCGUAAAGGGUGCGUAGGCGGGUCUUUAAGUCAGGGGUGACAUCCUGGAGCUCAACUCCAGAACUGCCUUUGAUACUGAAGAUCUUGAGUUCGGGAGAGGUGAGUGGAACUGCGAGUGUAGAGGUGAAAUUCGUAGAUAUUCGCAAGAACACCAGUGGCGAAGGCGGCUCACUGGCCCGAUACUGACGCUGAGGCACGAAAGCGUGGGGAGCAAACAGGAUUAGAUACCCGCGUAGUCCCUGUCUCUUAUAC
This 301-nucleotide ribosomal RNA is filed under the name uncultured bacterium. Its description in RNAcentral is "partial 16S ribosomal RNA". It matches the Rfam family "Bacterial small subunit ribosomal RNA", at positions 509 to 807 of the family's 1533-position model. The record is from RNAcentral.